Molecule: ribosomal RNA, 271 nt
Filed under: Klebsiella pneumoniae subsp. pneumoniae KPNIH22
Lineage: Bacteria; Pseudomonadati; Pseudomonadota; Gammaproteobacteria; Enterobacterales; Enterobacteriaceae
Description: partial 23S ribosomal RNA
Rfam family: Bacterial large subunit ribosomal RNA
Source: RNAcentral
UUGAGGGGGGCUGCUCCUAGUACGAGAGGACCGGAGUGGACGCAUCACUGGUGUUCGGGUUGUCAUGCCAAUGGCACUGCCCGGUAGCUAAAUGCGGAAGAGAUAAGUGCUGAAAGCAUCUAAGCACGAAACUUGCCCCGAGAUGAGUUCUCCCUGAGACUAUAAGUCUCCUGAAGGAACGUUAAAGACGAUGACGUUGAUAGGCCGGGUGUGUAAGCGCAGCGAUGCGUUGAGCUAACCGGUACUAAUGAACCGUGAGGCUUAACCUUAC